Molecule: ribosomal RNA, 371 nt
Filed under: uncultured organism
Description: bacterial SSU rRNA
Rfam family: Bacterial small subunit ribosomal RNA
Source: RNAcentral
CAGAGGGUGCGAGCGUUAAUCGGAAUUACUGGGCGUAAAGCGUGCGUAGACGGUUACGUAAGUCGGGUGUGAAAGCCCCGGGCUCAACCUGGGAAUUGCAUUCGAGACUGCGUAGCUAGGGUGCGGAAGAGGGAAGCGGAAUUUCCGGUGUAGCGGUGAAAUGCGUAGAUAUCGGAAGGAACAUCAGUGGCGAAAGCGGCUUCCUGGUCCAGCACCGACGUUCAGGCACGAAAGCGUGGGGAGCAAACAGGAUUAGAUACCCUGGUAGUCCACGCCAUAAACGAUGACAACUAGACGUUGAGAGGGUAAGCCUCCCAGUGUCGAAGCUAACGCGAUAAGUUGUCCGCCUGGGGAGUACGGCCGCAAGGUUG